UUGUUAUAUAAAAACAGGCUAAAUAUUACAAAUAUAUACAAAUAUUUACACUUGGAUUUCAUUGAUUAUUUUGUGUUCGGUUUAUUGGUAUGAAUACAUUUCCGUUUACAACUGACCCUAAGUUUUAGUCUUUUGAAUAGGGACAGCUUCUUUGUGUUUAUCUUCUGUUGGCGUGCUGGCAUUUCUUUUUCCAUUUUUUUUUUGCUGCGGGGGUAUUGGUAUUAACGGUCUGUCCCUUGAAAUAUUGUUCAAUAUUGCCACCGGGUUCCGUAUUUUUCUUCUUUUUUUUAUGCUUCGGCUUUUUUUUCUCAUCAUUUUCCCCACCGUUCACUAUUUCUUGAUCACACUGAAUUUUAUCUUGUAAAUGGUUAUUUACUGAUUGGGCUUUAUCUUUGGCAUGAAUAAUACUAAGGACGUCACCCGAGUUGGAAGGUUGAAGUGCGUCAUGUGCAUGAGCAGGCGGGACUUCAGUGACUUCUGUGUCGG
This 486-nucleotide long non-coding RNA is filed under the name Mytilus galloprovincialis (Mediterranean mussel). The record is from RNAcentral. Lineage: Eukaryota; Metazoa; Mollusca; Bivalvia; Mytilida; Mytilidae.